UGAAACUCCGAACAACAAGUUGAUGACUGUAUUUCACUAGGCGUCUGUCCGUGGUCAACUUCGAUCUGUUGCUCUGCUCAUUCACACUAGCCACGGUGAAGAUUGAUGAAGAAAGUACGAGACGGUGCGAAAAAGGAGAGGAAAUCUCCUCUCUUGGUUACCACCUUGAACUCUGACUUUUUUCAGAUUUCGAUGACAGAGCGAGUGCCAUGAGAUUUCCUCCACUCGAGGAACCGAGUGACACUGGU
Molecule: long non-coding RNA, 248 nt
Filed under: Setaria viridis
Lineage: Eukaryota; Viridiplantae; Streptophyta; Magnoliopsida; Poales; Poaceae
Description: long non-coding RNA (SVIR_LNC002727)
Source: RNAcentral